AUUAUUUUAAGCUAUAUAUUGGUAGUAAUUAAUAAUUUAUGAAAUCAUAAGAUUUUGGCGGUAUUUUAAGCUUAUUAGAGGAAUUUGCUCUGUGAUGGAUACAACGCCUCGAUCUUACUUAAUUUGGUUUUAAAAGUCAGUUUGUAUACCACUAUAUUUAAUUAUAUUGAAUAAUUAUAUUUAAGAUUUUUAUAAAAAAAAUAUAUUAAGUCAAGGUGCAAUUAAUAAUUAUG
This 233-nucleotide ribosomal RNA is filed under the name Ixodes affinis. Its description in RNAcentral is "partial 12S ribosomal RNA". Lineage: Eukaryota; Metazoa; Arthropoda; Arachnida; Ixodida; Ixodidae. The record is from RNAcentral.